AUGUUGUACUAGUAUAGAAAGGAG
Molecule: microRNA, 24 nt
Filed under: Zea mays
Lineage: Eukaryota; Viridiplantae; Streptophyta; Magnoliopsida; Poales; Poaceae
Description: microRNA miR-3067b
Source: RNAcentral